GAGAGACUGAGGAUGCUUCCAGAUGCGAGGAAUCCCCUCAAUCCUCUCAGCAUUGCAUUGGGUGUGCCAGACAUACCUUGAGAUUUCCAGUGCAAUGCUGAUUGCAAUGCACAAAAAACAUAUUGCAAUACUGGUAUGGGAAAUUCAGCAGUGACCCUUGGUUUCCCAUAAUAAUUCCACUUACCUGUGCCUCUGGUGAUUGGCUCACUGGGGACUUCUGGGAGCCAGCGAAGUACUCAAAAUACAACAAAUGAAUGAGUCCUGGAAAUUCCCAGUGGGCCUUUCUCAUAUGUGGCUUGCCAGAUGUGCAGGUAAGCCGUAGUUUGCAGUGGACAUCUGGUGGGAUAAGACAAGAGGUAAUUGCAGGAUCCUGUUUAUAUCCUGCAAUGCCUCNUGGUGUCUGGAGGCAGCCUGAAAGAUAGUAAAGUACAAGAUGCAUGGAGUAAAUGGAGGGGAGGAGCGUCUCUCAUGAACUGUUUACUGAACUUUUUUCCAUUUUUGAAAGAAAAAUUUCUGUCCAAUAUCCUUGUAGUGAAAAUCUGUCUCUUCCAUUUUUCAGGUACGUCAAGAAUAGAUGUAGAUGAAAAAGAAGAGAAAAAUGAUGCCGAAUCUCCAUGGGAUUCAGAGUGUACUUUAGAAAGCCCCAGGAAGCCACCUAUUGAUUCCUUUGCUACAGCUCCUACCAGAAGGAUGGAAGAAUCUUGUGAUAGUAAGCUCAUUAUAAAUAUCCUUUUCUCUUCUGUUUUCUGAUACGUUUGUGGAAUCACAGGAUAGGAAUGGGCCAUUUAGGCCAUGAAGUACAACACCUGCUCCAUAUAGGAAUUCAGACCUACCCAGGCACAAAAGAUGGUUAUCCAGUAUCCUGCUGAAGACAUCUAUGUUGGGAAAGCCUCCUGACAUCUUAAGUAACUUGUUCAGAUGUUGGACUGUCCUGAUAUGUGUUAUUGUUCACUAGUUCAGUUGUGUCCGACUCUUCACGACCCCAUGGACCAAAGCACACCAGGCCCUUCUGUGCUCCACUGUCUCCCAAAAUUGGGCCAAGUUCAUAUUCAUUGCUUCCAUGACACUUUCUAUCCAUCUCAUCCUUCCUAUCUCCUUCUCUUUUUGCGUUCAAUCUUUUCCAGCAUUAGGAUCUUUUCCAAUGAGUCCUGUCUUCUCAUUAUGUAGCCAAAGUAUUGGGGCUUCAGCUUCAACAUUUGUCCUUCCAAUGAACACUCACAGUUGUUUGCUUUUAGGAUUUACUGAUUUUGUUUCCUUGCAGUCCAACAGAUUCUCAAAAGUCUUCUCUAGCACCACAAUUCAAAAGUAUCAAUUCUUUGGUGCUUAGACUUCCUUAUGGUCCAACUCUCACAGCCAUACAUUAUUACUGGGAAAACUAUGGGCUUGUUUCUUCAUCUUUGGC
This 1402-nucleotide long non-coding RNA is filed under the name Salvator merianae (Argentine black and white tegu). RNAcentral's name for it is "lncRNA (ENSSMRG00000001433.1)". Lineage: Eukaryota; Metazoa; Chordata; Lepidosauria; Squamata; Teiidae. The record is from RNAcentral.